GACAGAGGUGCCGAGCGUUAGGCGGAAUCACUGGGCUUAAAGCGUGUGUAGGCGGUUCUGUAAGUACCUUGUGAAAUCCCCCGGCUCAACCGGGGAACGGGCAUCGAUACGAGCGGCCUUGAGGGGGGUAGGGGGGUCUGGAACUUCCGGUGGAGCGGUGAAAUGCGUUGAGAUCGGAAGGAACGCCCGUGGCGAAAGCGAGGCCCUGGACCCUUACUGACGCUGAGACGCGAAAGCCAGGGGAGCGAACGGG
RNAcentral lists this ribosomal RNA (253 nucleotides) under uncultured bacterium. RNAcentral describes it as "partial 16S ribosomal RNA". It matches the Rfam family "Bacterial small subunit ribosomal RNA", at positions 524 to 776 of the family's 1533-position model. The record is from RNAcentral.